RNAcentral lists this antisense RNA (75 nucleotides) under Streptomyces sp. AmelKG-A3. RNAcentral's name for it is "ASpks TB sRNA". It matches the Rfam family "ASpks TB sRNA". RNAcentral also lists the same sequence under 1 other name. The record is from RNAcentral. Lineage: Bacteria; Bacillati; Actinomycetota; Actinomycetes; Kitasatosporales; Streptomycetaceae.
CUUCAGCGAACCCAGCCACAACGGCCGCCCGGCGGGCCGGUCCUGGCCGUACGUGGCCAGCAGCGCCUGCGCCUC